AUUCCUACGGGGCGCAGCAGUGGGGAAUAUUGCACAAUGGGGGAAACCCUGAUGCAGCAACGCCGCGUGAGUGAUGACGGCCUUCGGGUUGUAAAGCUCUGUCUUCAGGGACGAUAAUGACGGUACCUGAGGAGGAAGCCACGGCUAACUACGUGCCAGCAGCCGCGGUAAUACGUAGGUGGCGAGCGUUGUCCGGAUUUACUGGGCGUAAAGGGAGCGUGGGCGGAUUUUAAAGUGAGAUGUGAAAUACUCGGGCUCAACUUGAGUGCUGCAUUGCAAACUGGUAGUCUAGAGGUCAGGAGAGG
This 305-nucleotide ribosomal RNA is filed under the name uncultured bacterium. Its description in RNAcentral is "bacterial SSU rRNA". It matches the Rfam family "Bacterial small subunit ribosomal RNA", at positions 335 to 657 of the family's 1533-position model. The record is from RNAcentral.